ACUGAAACAUCUAAGUACCCGGAGGAGAAGAAAACAAAAGUGAUUCCGUAAGUAGCGGCGAGCGAACGCGGAUUAGCCCAAACCAAUCUUGUUACGGCAAGACUGGGGUUGUAGGACCACGCUAUUGAUUGUGUAAUGAAUUAGAAUCUGUUGGAAAUCAGAACCAAAGAGGGUGAUAGUCCCGUAUAAGUAAAGCACAUAAAUCAUAGUGGUAUCCUGAGUAGUGCGGGACACGUGUAAUCCUGUAUGAAUUUGCCGGGACCAUCCGGUAAGGCUAAAUACUCCUGAGAGACCGAUAGUGAACUAGUACCGUGAGGGAAAGGUGAAAAGAACCGUGAAUAACGGAGUGAAAUAGAUCCUGAAACCAUACGCUUACAAGCGGUCGGAGUCACGCUUAUGCGUGAUGACGGCGUGCCUUUUGCAUAAUGAGCCUACGAGUUACCGUUUCUAGCAAGGUUAAGCACUUCAGGCGCGGAUCCGUAGCGAAAGCGAGUCUGAAUAGGGCGUAUAGUUAGUGGCGGUAGACGCGAAACCGUGUGAUCUACCCAUGGGCAGGUUGAAGCUGUAGUAACAUACAGUGGAGGACCGAACCCGUUGACGUUGAAAAGUCUUGGGAUGACCUGUGGGUAGGGGUGAAAGGCCAAUCAAACUCGGAAAUAGCUCGUACUCCCCGAAAUGCAUUUAGGUGCAGCGUAUUAUUAGUUUUAUAGAGGUAGAGCUACUGAUUGGAUGCGGGGGCUUCACCGCCUACCAAUUCCUGACAAACUCCGAAUGCUAUAAAAUGAUGUA
This 789-nucleotide ribosomal RNA is filed under the name uncultured bacterium. Its description in RNAcentral is "bacterial LSU rRNA". It matches the Rfam family "Bacterial large subunit ribosomal RNA", at positions 192 to 977 of the family's 2925-position model. The record is from RNAcentral.